This 550-nucleotide small RNA is filed under the name Pongo abelii (Sumatran orangutan). RNAcentral describes it as "processed transcript". The record is from RNAcentral. Lineage: Eukaryota; Metazoa; Chordata; Mammalia; Primates; Hominidae.
GUGUCCACUUUCUGAUGGCUGAUGGGGGUUUCUCGGUGGAGGGGCAGGAGAACCUGCAGGAGAUCCUCAGCAAGCAGCUGCUUCUGUGUCAGUUCCUCAUGGCGCUGUCCAUUGUCCGGACAGGUGACACUUCCUCAGCUGUCUCCUCACCCCAGGACCCACUUAGAGGCCCUAUUGGACAAGAACAUGUACAAGGGGUUGGUGGGGAAGUUAAAAAAAUCUACUUAUAUUAGAUGACAGGUAGCUAAAUGAGUAAUUUAGGGAAGAAAGGGCUGUGGAAUCCUCAAAGUCCCCUCCAAAGAUGGUUCUCUCCCUUAAAUUGUCUCUGAGUUUUAACAGACCCAGGUGCUGGUUUCCUUGACUUUGUCAUAUUUACUCCCAAGACUACUUCACCCAUCUCUUGGAAUAGACCCAUUGGCUGCUUUUGGUGUUUUCUCUCUAAUCUAGGAGGCCACUUCAUCUGUAAAACCUUUGACCUGUUCACACCGUUUAGUGUGGGGCUUGUCUACCUGCUGUACUGCUGCUUUGAACGAGUUUGUCUCUUCAAGCC